RNAcentral lists this ribosomal RNA (506 nucleotides) under uncultured bacterium. RNAcentral's name for it is "partial 16S ribosomal RNA". It matches the Rfam family "Bacterial small subunit ribosomal RNA", at positions 29 to 523 of the family's 1533-position model. The record is from RNAcentral.
AGUGAACGCUGGCGGUAGGCCUAACACAUGCAAGUCGAACGGCAGCACAGGAGAGCUUGCUCUCUGGGUGGCGAGUGGCGGACGGGUGAGGAAUACAUCGGAAUCUACUCUGUCGUGGGGGAUAACGUAGGGAAACUUACACUAAUACCGCAUACGACCUACGGGUGAAAGCAGGGGACCUUCGGGCCUUGCGCGAUUGAAUGAGCCGAUGUCGGAUUAGCUAGUUGGCGGGGAAAAGGCCCACCAAGGCGACGAUCCGUAGCUGGUCUGAGGGUAUGAUAAGCAACACUGGAGCGGGGACACGGUCCAGACGCCGACGGGAGGGAGCAGGGGGGAAUAUUGGACAAUGGGCGCAAGCCUGAUCCAGCCAUACCGCGUGGGUGAAGAAGGCCUUCGGGUUGUAAAGCCCUUUUGUUGGGAAAGAAAUCCAGCUGGCUAAUACCCGGUUGGGAUGACGGUACCCAAAGAAUAAGCACCGGCUAACUUCGUGCCAGCAGCCGCAGUAA